GACUCUUUGCAAAGGAUAUCUUGACUCUUGCAUCGACGAAGAAUAUAGAGAAAUGCGAUACUUUGUGUGAAUUGUAGAAUUCCAUGAACCAUCGAUUCUUUGAAUGCAAGUUGCGCUCGAAGCCAUUAGGCCGAGGGCACGCCUGCCUGGGUGUUG
Lupinus angustifolius (narrow-leaved blue lupine) is the source of this 156-nucleotide ribosomal RNA. It matches the Rfam family "5.8S ribosomal RNA". Rfam says of the family: 5.8S ribosomal RNA (5.8S rRNA) is a component of the large subunit of the eukaryotic ribosome. It is transcribed by RNA polymerase I as part of the 45S precursor that also contains 18S and 28S rRNA. The record is from Rfam. Lineage: Eukaryota; Viridiplantae; Streptophyta; Magnoliopsida; Fabales; Fabaceae.